RNAcentral lists this ribosomal RNA (1160 nucleotides) under Leptolyngbyaceae cyanobacterium WOS-LAB06. RNAcentral describes it as "bacterial SSU rRNA". It matches the Rfam family "Bacterial small subunit ribosomal RNA", at positions 356 to 1532 of the family's 1533-position model. Lineage: Bacteria; Bacillati; Cyanobacteriota; Cyanophyceae; Leptolyngbyales; Leptolyngbyaceae. The record is from RNAcentral.
GGGGAAUUUUCCGCAAUGGGCGAAAGCCUGACGGAGCAAUACCGCGUGCGGGAGGAAGGCCCUUGGGUUGUAAACCGCUUUUCUCAGGGAAGAAGCUCUGACGGUACCUGAGGAAUCAGCAUCGGCUAACUCCGUGCCAGCAGCCGCGGUAAUACGGAGGAUGCAAGCGUUAUCCGGAAUUAUUGGGCGUAAAGCGUCCGCAGGUGGUUGAGCAAGUCUGCUGUUAAAGCGUGGAGCUUAACUCCAUCACGGCGGUGGAAACUGCUCGACUUGAGUAUGGUAGGGGUUGCGGGAAUUCCCAGUGUAGCGGUGAAAUGCGUAGAUAUUGGGAAGAACACCAGCGGCGAAGGCGCGCAACUGGGCCAUUACUGACACUCAUGGACGAAAGCUAGGGGAGCGAAAGGGAUUAGAUACCCCUGUAGUCCUAGCUGUAAACGAUGGGCACUAGGUGUUGCACGUAUCGACCCGUGCAGUGCCGUAGCCAACGCGUUAAGUGCCCCGCCUGGGGAGUACGCACGCAAGUGUGAAACUCAAAGGAAUUGACGGGGGCCCGCACAAGCGGUGGAGUAUGUGGUUUAAUUCGAUGCAACGCGAAGAACCUUACCAGGGCUUGACAUGUCCAGAACCUCCUUGAAAGGGGAGGGUGCCUUCGGGAGCUGGAGCACAGGUGGUGCAUGGCUGUCGUCAGCUCGUGUCGUGAGAUGUUGGGUUAAGUCCCGCAACGAGCGCAACCCUCGUUUCUAGUUGCCAUCAUUCAGUUGGGCACUUUAGAGAGACUGCCGGUGACAAACCGGAGGAAGGUGGGGAUGACGUCAAGUCAGCAUGCCCCUUACGUCCUGGGCUACACACGUACUACAAUGCUGGGGACAAAGAGCUGCAAGCCUGCGAAGGUUAGCUAAUCUCAUAAACCCCGGCUCAGUUCAGAUUGCAGGCUGCAACUCGCCUGCAUGAAGGCGGAAUCGCUAGUAAUCGCAGGUCAGCAUACUGCGGUGAAUACGUUCCCGGGCCUUGUACACACCGCCCGUCACACCAUGGGAGUUGGCCACGCCCGAAGUCGUUACUCUAACCGCAAGGAGGAGGGCGCCGAAGGCAGGGCUGAUGACUGGGGUGAAGUCGUAACAAGGUAGCCGUACCGGAAGGUGUGGCUGGAUCACCUCCUU